UUGCAAACAGUUGCAGUCAUUAAUUGCUUGUGAUGACUGUUUUGACUCGUUCAUAUGAAAACAUUCAUUCCAUUUAAUUUUACUGAUGCUUUGCUGACUUGGCGAGAUUUUUUUGUGCAGUUUCAGUAAUUUCACAUGGUUUUUCAGGACAAGGAGGAAGUAAAACAAGAUGGGUGGGCAUGACAGCUUUUGGGUGAAACAUCUGCCCCAUCUAAAUGGUUACCUCGAAAUGCUUGUGCAAUCAGCGAGAAGCCUUUCGGCAGUGCCUCGUCCGCUCUAGUGGGUACAGCGGAUGUAAGCCACUGCAUCUUCACAAAACGGCUUUUGGUGAAAUAAAGUUUUCAUUCAGACUG
RNAcentral lists this long non-coding RNA (353 nucleotides) under Dermacentor andersoni. RNAcentral describes it as "uncharacterized LOC126547313". Lineage: Eukaryota; Metazoa; Arthropoda; Arachnida; Ixodida; Ixodidae. The record is from RNAcentral.